Long non-coding RNA from Mustela erminea (ermine), 632 nucleotides. RefSeq lists it as uncharacterized. Lineage: Eukaryota; Metazoa; Chordata; Mammalia; Carnivora; Mustelidae. The transcript has 4 exons. The record is from RefSeq and is a predicted model, not a curated record.
AGGCUUUCCAGCCACUGCCGUGAGGCAGCAUUACAACAACGAGCUUUAAUUGUGACAGGAGGAAAGGGAGAGAGAAGCUCUGCUCUGAAGAGUGUCUCGGAGCCGCGCUGACACACCUCGGUGCAGAGCACGGAAGCAAACCCGGCUCCAUUCCUUACCACCUGCGUUCCGAGACUCCUAACACUCUUAGCUGGCAAGUCACCUAUUCCCAGAGUAUCUCCAUGAAAGAAGAAGAGGGGAGAUGGCUUUAUUCCCAUUUUACAGGGAAUAUUCUCCACCUCCGUGUUUUUCUCAUCACAGCUCCCAGAUCAAGAUGGCAGAAGAACAGAAGCCUACAGCUCAAAGACGCAGAAGGAAGUUAGGAAAAGAAUAUUCUCAUAUCCAUCCAACGCUCUGCAGCUUUUAAAGAUCAAAAAGAAACACUACCUAUGAGUCACCUAAUCUUUAUAAUAGCUUUACAGAAGGAAUAUCUCAGGCAGGAAAACAUGCCUCAGGAUGUAAGGCUCCAGAAGUUUGCCUCACUGUGGUGUGGCUCAUCGCCCGCACCGAACCACUCCCACCUCCACACCAGCCUCGCCACUUAGGUAAGUCUCCUUUCAUUGACUCGCGAUUAAUCACACAGUGCAACCCUU